RNAcentral lists this ribosomal RNA (774 nucleotides) under uncultured Neocallimastigales. RNAcentral describes it as "partial large subunit ribosomal RNA". It matches the Rfam family "Eukaryotic large subunit ribosomal RNA", at positions 22 to 634 of the family's 3401-position model. The record is from RNAcentral. Lineage: Eukaryota; Fungi; Neocallimastigomycota; Neocallimastigomycetes; Neocallimastigales.
GUACACGCUGUGACUAGCAUAUCAAUAAGCGGAGGAAAAGAAACUAACGAGGAUUCCCUCAGUAACGGCGAGUGAAGCGGGAAGAGCUCAAAUUUGAAAUCUUGAAAGGUCACCUUUCACGAAUUGUAGUUUAAAGAAGUGUUUUCUGUUACGAUCGUAAUACAAGUUCUUUGGAAUAGGACAUCACAGAGGGUGAGAAUCCCGUCUAUGAUUGCGAUUUGUAGCUUUGUGAUACACUUUCAAAGAGUCGGGUUGUUUGGGAAUGCAGCCCAAAACGGGAGGUAAAUUUCUUCUAAGGCUAAAUAUUGGCGAGAGACCGAUAGCGAACAAGUACCGUGAGGGAAAGAUGAAAAGAACUUUGAAAAGAGAGUUAAAUAGUACGUGAAAUUGUCAAAAGGGAAGCGUUUGACACCAGUGUUGUUUUUCUGAAAAUCAAUUAAAGAACUGUUUAUGCUAAGCUGUUUAGACUUUAUCAGCUAUCUGUUUAGUUUUAGGCUUUUCUUUAAUGCACUUUUCAGUUAACAAGUCAACAUCAAUUUCUUUUGCUGUAAAAAAGCUUGAGGAAGGUGGCUUGAGAUUCGUCUUAAGUGUUUAUAGCCUCUUGCCUAUGCAGUCGGAGAGAUUGAGGUCUGCAGCGUAGAUCCUUCGGGGCUAAAUGCAUUUGUGCUAAGUUAUAGCAUUUUAUAGACAACUUGUUGACUAUGAUUUGUCUUGUAGCUUACUCGCUUAUGCUAUUUUACCUACGCUUAGGAUAUUGACGCAUGAGAUAUACGC